Molecule: ribosomal RNA, 502 nt
Filed under: uncultured bacterium
Lineage: Bacteria
Description: partial 16S ribosomal RNA
Rfam family: Bacterial small subunit ribosomal RNA
Source: RNAcentral
AUUGAACGCUGGCGGAAUGCUUUACACAUGCAAGUCGAACGGCAGCACGGGUGCUUGCACCUGGUGGCGAGUGGCGAACGGGUGAGUAACAUAUCGGAACGUACCCAGUAAUGGGGGAUAACUAACCGAAAGGUUAGCUAAUACCGCAUACGCCCUGAGGGGGAAAGCGGGGGAUCGAAAGACCUCGCGUUAUUGGAGCGGCCGAUAUCUGAUUAGCUAGUUGGUGAGGUAAAGGCUCACCAAGGCGACGAGCAGUAGCAGGUCUGAGAGGAUGAUCUGCCACACUGGAACUGAGACACGGUCCAGACUCCUACGGGAGGCAGCAGUGGGGAAUUUUGGACAAUGGGGGAAACACUGAUCCAGCCAUUCCGCGUGAGUGAAGAAGGCCUUCGGGUUGUAAAGCUCUUUCGGCAGGGAAGAAACGGUUCAGGAUAAUACCCGGAGCUAAUGACGGUACCUGAAGAAGAAGCACCGGCUAACUACGUGCCAGCCGCCGCAGUAA